This 497-nucleotide ribosomal RNA is filed under the name uncultured bacterium. RNAcentral describes it as "partial 16S ribosomal RNA". It matches the Rfam family "Bacterial small subunit ribosomal RNA", at positions 28 to 507 of the family's 1533-position model. The record is from RNAcentral.
GAUGAACGCUGGCGGCGUGCCUAAUACAUGCAAGUCGAGCGAACAGACGAGGAGCUUGCUCCUCUGACGUUAGCGGCGGACGGGUGAGUAACACGUGGAUAACCUACCUAUAAGCCUGGGAUAACUUCGGGAAACCGGAGCUAAUACCGGAUAAUAUAUUGAACCGCAUGGUUCAAUAGUGAAAGACGGUUUUGCUUUCACUUAUAAAUGGCUCCGGUCCUCAUUAGCUAGUUGGUAGGGUAACGGCUUACCAAGGCAACGUUCCGUAGCCGACCUGAGAGGGUGAUCGGCCACUCUGGAACUGAGACACGGUCCAGACUCCUACGGGAGGCAGCAGUAGGGAAUCUUCCGCAAUGGGCGAAAGCCUGACGGAGCAACGCCGCGUGAGUGAUGAAGGUCUUCGGAUCGUAAAACUCUGUUAUUAGGAAAGAACAAAUGUGUAAGUAACUAUGCACGUCUUGACGGUACCUAAUCAGAAAGCCACGGCUAACUACGUG